CUGCUGCCUUCCGUAGGAGUCUGGGCCGUGUCUCAGUCCCAGUGUGGGGGGCCUUCCUCUCAGAACCCCUACGCAUCGUCGCCACGGUGGGCCGUCACCCCGCCGUCUAGCUAAUGCGCCGCAUGCCCAUCCGCCACCGGAUCGCUCCUUUGGCCACCGGAGGAUGCCCUCCGGUGGCGUCACGGGGUAUUAGGCCGCGUUUCCGCGGGUUAUCCCCCUGUGGCCGGCCAGGUUGCAUACGUGUUACUCACCCGUGCGCCGGUCGCCGGG
RNAcentral lists this ribosomal RNA (270 nucleotides) under uncultured bacterium. RNAcentral describes it as "partial 16S ribosomal RNA". The record is from RNAcentral.